UUGAAUAUUAAUUAUUGUACUAACAAUUGAAACUUUUUUUAAAAUCUUUUCGUAACUUUUGUAUCAUUUCAAAAGAAACAUUUUUUGGAACUUGUAUUUGUCGUUCUUCUUCCAUUGCUUCCAUGUCAUCAUCACUAUUAUCACCAAAUAUUUCAUCUAUUUCGUCUUCUAUUUGGCUAUUUAAUUGUGGUAGUCCGGUAUUUCUUCUUUCGGCAUUGACCCAAUCUCGAAACAACACCGAUAUUUCCAAACUAUCCUUUGCUAAUGAAUAUCGAUGAUCUCCAAUCAUAAAUCUCGCCG
RNAcentral lists this long non-coding RNA (300 nucleotides) under Solanum tuberosum (potato). RNAcentral describes it as "long non-coding RNA (STUB_LNC008451)". Lineage: Eukaryota; Viridiplantae; Streptophyta; Magnoliopsida; Solanales; Solanaceae. The record is from RNAcentral.